This 262-nucleotide ribosomal RNA is filed under the name uncultured archaeon. RNAcentral's name for it is "partial 16S ribosomal RNA". It matches the Rfam family "Archaeal small subunit ribosomal RNA", at positions 748 to 1009 of the family's 1478-position model. The record is from RNAcentral.
CAGCCGUAAACUAUGCUCGCUAGGUGUCAGGGACGGUGCGACCGUUUCUGGUGCCGCAGGGAAGCCGUGAAGCGAGCCACCUGGGAAGUACGGUCGCAAGGCUGAAACUUAGAGGAAUUGGCGGGGGAGCACAACAACGGGUGGAGCUUGCGGUUUAAUUUGGAUUCAACGCCGGAAAUCUUACCGGGACCGACAGCAACAUGAAGGCCAAGCUGAAGACUUUGCCGGAUUAGCUGAGAGGAGGUGCAUGGCGUAGUCGUGU